This 298-nucleotide ribosomal RNA is filed under the name uncultured bacterium. RNAcentral describes it as "partial 16S ribosomal RNA". It matches the Rfam family "Bacterial small subunit ribosomal RNA", at positions 28 to 314 of the family's 1533-position model. The record is from RNAcentral.
GACGAACGCUGGCGGCGUGCUUAACACAUGCAAGUGGGGGCGACGAACCAGGCUUCGGCCUGGGGGCAAAGCCGCGAACGGGUGAGUAACACGUGGGUAACCUGCCCCGAAGACCGGGACAACCCGGGAAACCCGGGCUAAUACCGGAUGUGGUCAUCGUUCAUAAGGACGAUGAGCAAAGGAAAGCUUCGGCCGUCCGCUUCGGGAUGGGCCCGGCCGGCCCAUUAGCUUGUUGGUGAGGUAACGGCUCACCAAGGCUUCAUGGGUAGCUGGUCUGAGAGGACGGAUCCGCCACACU